GGAGUUCAGUCUUCCCAGGCCCACCAUUUUGAUCGAGUGCGGAGCAUUCGUCUUCUGGUACGGGGCCAUAGCUCAGCUGGGAGAGCGCGUGCUUUGCAAGCAUGAGGUCGUCGGUUCGAUCCCGUCUGGCUCCACCAGAUGGUUUGAUCACCAACGGCGUUACCGUCGUCCGCGAAACAUCACUUCGCACGCAUUGGUCCGGAUGGACGGUGACGUGCGUGUUUUCUGACAUCGUAAAGAGGAGAUCGAUCCGAGUUUGGAUCCAGCGAAGCAAUUCGCGGGUACCAUUCCUAAUCUCCAGAUCGUUUUCGGCGCUCGCGCAUCGCAGCUCAUCGCAAGAUGAGUGAGGUGAGCGAGUUGUAAAACGAUCUUUGUAGCGAAGCUUGGCCGCCUCGCUAUCGGGCCGAUCUUACGAAGCAAGCUGGUCUUUCUAGUCAAUGUCCGGCUGCGCAAUCGCAUUCAUCGAGGAUGCGCGCCUGAGACUUCGGUCUUUGGGCAAUUGUGCAGACAACAUUCUGCCGAGUGUGUGGACAUUGAUAAUGAGAGCAAUCAAGUGCCUUAAGGGUGUUCGGUGGAUGCCUUGGCGCUGAGAGGCGAUGAAGGACGUGCUACGCUGCGAUAAGCCGUGGGGAGCUGCGAAGAAGCUUUGAUCCGCGGAUUUCCGAUG
This 667-nucleotide unclassified non-coding RNA is filed under the name Bradyrhizobium sp. Worou2c/Worou2S8/INERA75/STM10213. RNAcentral's name for it is "partial 16S-23S ribosomal RNA intergenic space". The stretch from base 548 to 667 matches the Rfam family "Bacterial large subunit ribosomal RNA", at positions 1 to 119 of the family's 2925-position model. Lineage: Bacteria; Pseudomonadati; Pseudomonadota; Alphaproteobacteria; Hyphomicrobiales; Nitrobacteraceae. The record is from RNAcentral.